RNAcentral lists this ribosomal RNA (23 nucleotides) under Colletotrichum gloeosporioides. RNAcentral describes it as "partial 28S ribosomal RNA". The record is from RNAcentral. Lineage: Eukaryota; Fungi; Ascomycota; Sordariomycetes; Glomerellales; Glomerellaceae.
AAAGGUUGACCUCGGAUCAGGUA